Capsicum annuum is the source of this 710-nucleotide long non-coding RNA. RefSeq lists it as uncharacterized. The record is from RefSeq and is a predicted model, not a curated record. The transcript has 3 exons. Lineage: Eukaryota; Viridiplantae; Streptophyta; Magnoliopsida; Solanales; Solanaceae.
UGAGAAUCUUAUUUUCACAUCAACCAAAAUAACAAACAUCAUAUAAUAUAACUCACUAUUCCUCUCUCAGUGGUAUUGAAAGUUGUUGUAAUGUUGUUCCUUGCAACGCUUGUGUUCACAGAGCACAAUGCUAUGGCCGAAGAACGUGAUGCACUAUGCGUAGCAUUAUGUACACUAAGGUGCCAAAAAAGGCCUGUGUUCCUAACUAGGUGCCUUGCCUGUUGCGCUGUAAUUGGAAAUACAUGUGAAUUAGUUGAUACUGAAGCUACAAGACUAAACCAUGUUUGUAAUGUUGGAUGUUCUCUUGGCCAUGGCUCCAAAUUUCUCAUCCAGUAUGAGAAUGCAUUGGAUUGUUGUGAUUGAAGUUUCAAUUUGAGAAUUUAACUCCGGACGUCGAAGGAUAAAUAAAAACCAUCAACAGAAAAUGGAGAUCGGCACCAAUAAAUGCAUUUGUAUGGGAUGAUCCUGCAUCUAUUGUUGAAAUAGAAUCGAAGGAUCCACUUAUUCUUACAUAUGAUCUUUUUCAUGAAUUCGACAUCAACGAUCAAGGAUCAUCCUUUAACCAACGGCCAUUAAGUGUGAACUUUGAAGAGUUAACUAACUUAAUUUGUUAUGUUCAAAGUGUAAAUCUUGUAAAAGAGAGCAAUGCAAGGCAACAUUUUGAUGAUAAUGUUGAGAGACAAGUAAGAAAUAAUUUGGUUACAAUACAA